UGAGAGCGUACACAGGUGCUGCAUGGCUGUCGUCAGCUCGUGUCGUGAGAUGUUGGGUUAAGUCCCGCAACGAGCGCAACCCUGCAUUCAGUUGCCAUCGGUAAGGCCGGGCACUCUGGAUGGACUGCCGGCGACAAGCCGGAGGAAGGUGGGGACGACGUCAAGUCAUCAUGGCCCUUAUGUCCAGGGCGACACACGUGCUACAAUGGCCGGCACAACGGGAAGCGAAGGGGCGACCCUGAGCGGAUCCCACAAAAGCCGGUCCCAGUUCGGAUUGCAGUCUGCAACUCGACUGCAUGAAGUUGGAAUCGCUAGUAAUCGUGGAUCAGCCAAGCCGCGGUGAAUACGUUCCCGGGCCUU
Molecule: ribosomal RNA, 360 nt
Filed under: uncultured Thermovirga sp.
Lineage: Bacteria; Thermotogati; Synergistota; Synergistia; Synergistales; Thermovirgaceae
Description: bacterial SSU rRNA
Rfam family: Bacterial small subunit ribosomal RNA
Source: RNAcentral